UUCGCAAUGCCCGAAAGGGUGACGAAGCGACGCCGCGUGCGGGAAGAAGGUCUUCGGGUUGUAAACCGCUGUCGGGAGUUAAGAAAUGUAAGGGUGUUAAUAGCAUCUUUGCUUGACUAAGGCUCCGGAGGAAGCCACGGCUAACUCUGUGCCAGCAGCCGCGGUAAUACAGAGGCGGCAAGCGUUGUUCGGAAUUAUUGGGCGUAAAGAGCACGUAGGCGGCUAUGUAAGUCGGUUGUGAAAGCCUUCCGCUCAACGGGAGAACAGCAUCCGAUACUGCAUGGCUUGAGUGCGGGAGGGGAGAGUGGAACUUCUGGUGGAGCGGUGAAAUGCGUAGAUAUCAGAAGGAACGCCGGCGGCGAAAGCGGCUCUCUGGCCCAUAACUGACGCUGAGUGUGCGAAAGCUAGGGGAGCAAACGGGAUUAGAUACCCCGGUAGUCCUAGCCGUAAACGAUGGGCACUAAGUAGAGGGGUUUU
This 477-nucleotide ribosomal RNA is filed under the name uncultured Planctomycetales bacterium. Its description in RNAcentral is "bacterial SSU rRNA". It matches the Rfam family "Bacterial small subunit ribosomal RNA", at positions 365 to 832 of the family's 1533-position model. The record is from RNAcentral. Lineage: Bacteria; Pseudomonadati; Planctomycetota; Planctomycetia; Planctomycetales.